Molecule: long non-coding RNA, 2222 nt
Organism: Drosophila ananassae
Lineage: Eukaryota; Metazoa; Arthropoda; Insecta; Diptera; Drosophilidae
Exons: 2
Source: RefSeq, a predicted model, not a curated record
GACUUCAAUAUUUGAAUGGAGUAGCCGUUAAAUUCAUUGCAGCGUUUAAAGUGGACAGAUUACGUUCUGUUAUUUUGGGACGCUUGGAUUUUAACAAUAGGUGGCGCUAGAAAACUUAUUUAGUACCGCUUAAGCUCAGCGAGAGAUUAGUCUACCCUGGUGGGGUAUUGAUCAGGGAAGAUUAGCGGGUUGUUCAAAAAUAUGGAGGAUGAUUUAGAUCGGGGACAUUUCCGCUGCAGCUGGCUUUAAAAGCUCGGAGGCGUGCAGUUUCGCUCUCUUUUCUUGUGUGCGCAGUCGUAAGGGAAAGUCGAGUCUACGUUUAUUUAAAAUCGGACGGAAAACAAAAAAGUGCUGAAAAGUGGAAAAAUAGUGAACAAGAGCCAGGAGCAUUUUCUGCGAGAAGCCCGGACUGUUGCAUUUAGCAGGAGCUAUCUGCGUUUGGCCAGCCGCCAAAUUCAACAUAUUUUAAAGGGGCCGGAUCUGCGGUUCGGCCCUCUUAAUCCUAAAUUAAAAAUAAAACGGAAAAAUCCGUUGAGGGACUAACAAAAUUGGCCAAAUGAGAUGAGUUGACGACAUACCCGAAACUCUUGUAUAUCUUCCCGAGCUUCGGCCCUGUCGCGGCAUCGAAAUACAUGUUUAAUUUAGAGGGUCGGUCUUGAGCCCUAGAAGAACACCAUGUCGCCACGAUCGCGCCGCAAAACCCUGGCCCAUUACUAUCUCGGAUCCUGUUAUUCUUGGCACACAUAAAUAUACCUUUUUGCCAGCUCAAGAAUUGGACUUUGAAUGAGAAUCACGUGUCUCUAACCUAAUUUGAUAUUUUCUUAAACACAAAACUGAAUUUUUAUAAAUAUUUCAUUAGUCAUUUAAGUCCAAAUCAAUUUGGAUUCCAAACCACAAGCAUCAUGUUUUCAAAUUUGUUUAUUUUUUAGUUAUAAGUUUAUCUAACCUAAAUUUCUCUCAGUGUAUAUAAACGCUCGUAUGCAAGCUUAAUGCUUUUAUAUGUAAGAACCAGUCUCCAGAAUCUUCUAACGAUAAGGAAUCUCUACACUUUUGAGCAGAUAACACAAAUUUUAAUGCCUAAUUUUGGGGAUGACCACUUUUAGGCCACUUUACAGCUUUCAGCCCUCGGAAGAUCGAUCUUUCUACGCUAGAUCAGGAGUGAAUACUGUGAGCCAUUUUUGUGCAUGUUUUUAUUAUAUCCUAAAUUCUCCCCUGAUUGGGAAAAAUUUUCUUUUGAUAAAUUUUAUAAUGAUCUGCAAAUAGUGUAGCAUACCUGGUCGUCAAUGAAUUUAAAAAAAAGUAAAUAACGUAAACUUAUUACAAAGCUUUAAGCUUGAACUAAAAGUACAUCAUUUAUCAUUCUGAUUGCGUUUAAUGAAAUAUCUAAGCCUCUUCAAGGUGUAUAUUUCCAAUGCCGAAGCUAUAAUUGUGAACUUUAAGAAAACUUUUAAAAAUCUUUUCGAAUCUUAUACUCAUUAGCAAGUUAGAAAAAAAACUGAAUCGAAGUCAUUUUUGAAGAAUUUUUGUUUUAUUAAAUUUAUCGAAGUAUUUUAGAACAUAUAUCAUUAUAUUAGCAUGUAAGUCUAUCUGAAAAAUUAAACCCUGUUAAUAUUGAACAAUGAAAACUAACUAAACCUUAUUCAUCUGAACUCAGCUAAUGACCUAGCGGUCGCAGGAUAAAGGGGUCAUCAGAGCCAGUCUCAAGGAUGAUGAUCAUAGGUUGGGAGGGUAAAUUUGGAGGCCACAUCUACACCAGUGGUUCCGCCUAGUUUACAUCUUCGCGCUCUCGUCCUUCUCUAUCCCCCUCUAUAAAAUUUGAUCUUCUAUAUACUUUACCGGUUCUAUCUUGCAAUUCUUAUGUCGCUAGCACGCUCAAUUCUUGACUUUAGAUUAUUAAUUUGUAACCUGGCCGAUCCGUCCGAAACAAGACCUCCACCCCCCAAGCCGACGAGCGAGAGCCGGACUCUAUAGCGUGCUCCUGUGAAGACGGGUCCCUUUCAUUACCCACACCGUUACACGUUACAGUUAUUUUUAUUAAUAAUCAUAAAGAAAAGUACUCUGUGAGUAAAGUAAACACUCAUUGGGACUUACGAAUAGAACUUCAAAUUUUAUUAUUCUUAUCCUUUUUAUCCAAAGGGCUGGCUAAACGCAGAAUUUAGUGAGGAUAACAGUUAAAAGGACAUUAGUGUCUUUUCUGGCCAAAGCUAAAUUCUGGAUUUAUC